RNAcentral lists this ribosomal RNA (772 nucleotides) under uncultured bacterium. Its description in RNAcentral is "bacterial SSU rRNA". It matches the Rfam family "Bacterial small subunit ribosomal RNA", at positions 8 to 796 of the family's 1533-position model. The record is from RNAcentral.
AGAGUUUGAUCAUGGCUCAGGACGAACGCUGGCGGCGUGCUUAACACAUGCAAGUCGAGCGGAAAGGCCCUUUCGGGGGUACUCGAGCGGCGAACGGGUGAGUAACACGUGAGCAACCUGCCCCUGGCUCUGGGAUAGCCUCCGGAAACGGGGAUUAAUACCGGACAUGACUUCCUGCCGCAUGGCGGGGGGUGGAAAGUUUUUCGGCCAGGGUGGGGCUCGCGGCCUAUCAGCUUGUUGGGGGGGUGACGGCCCACCAAGGCGACGACGGGUAGCCGGCCUGAGAGGGCGACCGGCCACACUGGGACUGAGACACGGCCCAGACUCCUACGGGAGGCAGCAGUGGGGAAUAUUGCGCAAUGGGGGAAACCCCGACGCAGCGACGCCGCGUGCGGGAUGAAGGCCUUCGGGUUGUAAACCGCUUUCACCAGGGACGAAGCGAGAGUGACGGUACCUGGGGAAGAAGCGCCGGCUAACUACGUGCCAGCAGCCGCGGUAAUACGUAGGGCGCGAGCGUUGUCCGGAAUUAUUGGGCGUAAAGAGCUCGUAGGCGGCCGGUUGCGUCUGCUGUGAAAUCCCGGGGCUUAACCCCGGGCGUGCAGUGGAUACGGGCCGGCUGGAGGCAGGCAGGGGAGAAUGGAAUUCCCGGUGUAGCGGUGAAAUGCGCAGAUAUCGGGAGGAACACCGGUGGCGAAGGCGGUUCUCUGGGCCUGUACUGACGCUGAGGAGCGAAAGCGUGGGGAGCGAACAGGAUUAGAUACCCUAGUAGUCC